Molecule: unclassified non-coding RNA, 229 nt
Filed under: Aphyllon corymbosum
Lineage: Eukaryota; Viridiplantae; Streptophyta; Magnoliopsida; Lamiales; Orobanchaceae
Description: partial external transcribed spacer
Source: RNAcentral
UGUUGGAUCCUUGCUUGUGCAGCGACAACGUCUCAUGUAUGCCUUUUCAGUUGUUGGCUCAAGUUUUACUUGGCUAUUGUGGGUUUCCUGUGCUAGAUACCUAUCGUGAAGGCAUUCAAAUGUUUUACACAUAAUCCAUCUUGUGUUGCUCCUAGUGGGUGCGGUGUUGGUGGACCUCAAAUCAUACAUUGUGUUUCACCUCCUUUGCAUGCAUGUUCAUGCUUUGGUU